Molecule: long non-coding RNA, 505 nt
Filed under: Homo sapiens (human)
Lineage: Eukaryota; Metazoa; Chordata; Mammalia; Primates; Hominidae
Description: non-protein coding lnc-PTPRU-4:3
Source: RNAcentral
AUUUGUGCCCUGCGCUGUGACGGGACUAGAGGAUUGAAGAAGGGAGAUCCACCCGGCUAUGAGUUGGUGCCAGGAAGGCCAUUGCAGAGAAAGGCAGGCGUGGAGUGUCCUCUGCCAGAGGCUGCCUGAGCUCCAUGGAAGGAGGCCAGUGUGGCAGUGAGGUGCCUGGCUGCCCGCCCCUCCCCUCACUCCUCUAAUAACCACCAUUUCUGUCUCCACCAAUUCUGGGACACCCACCUGCAGGUUCAAGACCACUCACACUUGGGCACUGAUGGGCCUCUAUGGGGUCAUGGAAGGAGCCCUCAGGCAGUGGAAUGUCUCAGGUGACCCCUGCCAAGGGGCCAAGCCCAGCUUUUGUUGCUUAGCCUCCUCCAAGGAAAACCCUCCCUGGGAAAGUUCUGAUGAUCACCACCUCUGACCAAGCCAUACUUCCUGUAAGCACCAGAAAGAAAGUGAUUCCAGGUUCUAUUAUUGAACUUUACACUAUCGUUUCAACAAAAUAAAG